GCGACGGUCGUCUAGCGGCCCAAGACAACCCCGGGCAGGGGUCAACACCGGUUCGAAUCCGGUCCGUCGCA
Molecule: transfer RNA, 71 nt
Filed under: Streptomyces lavendulae subsp. lavendulae
Lineage: Bacteria; Bacillati; Actinomycetota; Actinomycetes; Kitasatosporales; Streptomycetaceae
Also listed under: 2 other names
Description: tRNA-Ala
Rfam family: tRNA
About the family: Transfer RNA (tRNA) molecules are approximately 80 nucleotides in length. Their secondary structure includes four short double-helical elements and three loops (D, anti-codon, and T loops).
Source: RNAcentral